Molecule: transfer RNA, 95 nt
Organism: Fusarium oxysporum
Lineage: Eukaryota; Fungi; Ascomycota; Sordariomycetes; Hypocreales; Nectriaceae
Rfam family: tRNA
About the family: Transfer RNA (tRNA) molecules are approximately 80 nucleotides in length. Their secondary structure includes four short double-helical elements and three loops (D, anti-codon, and T loops).
Source: Rfam
GGGCGAAUGGUUUAGUGGUAUAAUACUCCCUUAGCAUGAUUCAGUCUUCUGAAGAAAUCUGGGAGUGGUCCAGGGUUCGAUUCCCUGUUCGUCCA